AUGAACGCUGGCGGCGUGCCUAAUACAUGCAAGUCGAGCGCACGGACGAGAAGCUUGCUUCUCUGAUGUUAGCGGCGGACGGGUGAGUAACACGUGGAUAACCUACCUAUAAGACUGGGAUAACUUCGGGAAACCGUAGCUAAUACCGGAUAAUAUUUUGAACCGCAUGGUUCAAAAGUGAAAGACGGUCUUGCUGUCACUUAUAGCUGGAUCCGCGCUGCAUUAGCUAGUUGGUAAGGUAACGGCUUACCAAGGCAACGAUGCAUAGCCGACCUGAGAGGGUGAUCGGCCACACUGGAACUGAGACACGGUCCAGACUCCUACGGGAGGCAGCAGUAGGGAAUCUUCCGCAAUGGGCGAAAGCCUGACGGAGCAACGCCGCGUGAGUGAUGAAGGUCUUCGGAUCGUAAAACUCUGUUAUUAGGGAAGAACAUAUGUGUAAGUAACUGUGCACAUCUUGACGGUACCUAAUCAGAAAGCCACGGCUAACUACGUG
Molecule: ribosomal RNA, 496 nt
Filed under: uncultured bacterium
Lineage: Bacteria
Description: partial 16S ribosomal RNA
Rfam family: Bacterial small subunit ribosomal RNA
Source: RNAcentral